GUUCCCCAUAAGGUAUGUCCCAAAGAAAAGCUUCUCGGUCAACAAAGCACAAAUAUUGCCCUCGACAAAGCCAUCUCCAAGCAAAGAACUGGUGACCCAACCAUCUUCAGCGAUAAGUAUUGAGAGGUACCCUUAUCAUUGAAUUUACAGAAGAUGAAACCACAAUCAAGGAGAGACAACAUUGUGACAAUGAACAACUAAGAAGGAUGAGAUGAUAACAACAAUAAACAACAAGGUACUAUCAGUUUCCCGUCCAAACAAAAUUAUCAAAAAAAUGAGGAUAACCGUAUCCACAGAGCUCUUUUU
Molecule: long non-coding RNA, 306 nt
Organism: Triticum dicoccoides
Lineage: Eukaryota; Viridiplantae; Streptophyta; Magnoliopsida; Poales; Poaceae
Exons: 4
Source: RefSeq, a predicted model, not a curated record